UACGGAGGGGGCUAGCGUUGUUCGGAAUUACUGGGCGUAAAGGGCGCGUAGGCGGUGCGAUCAGUCAGGCGUGAAAGGCCCGGGCUCAACCCGGGGACUGCGCUUGAUACUGUUGCGCUGUGAGUCCGGGAGAGGAUGGCGGAAUUCCCAGUGUAGAGGUGAAAUUCGUAGAUAUUGGGAAGAACACCGGUGGCGAAGGCGGCCAUCUGGACCGGCACUGACGCUGAGGCGCGAAAGCGUGGGGAGCAAA
RNAcentral lists this ribosomal RNA (250 nucleotides) under uncultured bacterium. RNAcentral describes it as "partial 16S ribosomal RNA". It matches the Rfam family "Bacterial small subunit ribosomal RNA", at positions 524 to 772 of the family's 1533-position model. The record is from RNAcentral.